RNAcentral lists this ribosomal RNA (404 nucleotides) under uncultured Glomeraceae. RNAcentral describes it as "eukaryotic LSU rRNA". The record is from RNAcentral. Lineage: Eukaryota; Fungi; Glomeromycota; Glomeromycetes; Glomerales; Glomeraceae.
GUGAAAUUGUUGAAAGGGAAAACGAUUGAAGUCAGUCGUACCGACGAGAAUUCAACUCUUCAAGUGCGAACUUGUGGGCGUGCGUGAGCGUUUAAAACCUACGCUGUUUGCAACGUCUGUGCUUUUUGGGUGUACGUUUUUCGCAUGGUAGGCCAACGUCAGUUUCGUUUACCAUAAAAUGACCGGAGGAAUGUAGCUUCGAUCUCGUAUUGAAGUGUUAUAGCCCUUGGUAGAUGUGGUGAACGAAAACUGAGGAUUGCAACGAAUACCCUUUGGGCUAUCCGUCUGACCUCUGAAAGUUACUUAGGUGUCGAAAGCAUGCUUACGGUCAUUUAAGUUGACGGUCAACAGGUUAGAACGUGAUUACAUUCGUUAAGGACGUUGACGUAAUGGCUUUAAACGAC